Molecule: ribosomal RNA, 447 nt
Filed under: Blastocystis sp.
Lineage: Eukaryota; Bigyra; Opalinata; Blastocystidae
Description: SSU rRNA
Rfam family: Eukaryotic small subunit ribosomal RNA
Source: RNAcentral
UAUCUGGUUGAUCCUGCCAGUAGUCAUACGCUCGUCUCAAAGAUUAAGCCAUGCAUGUGUAAGUAUAACUAAUUGACUUUGAAACUGCGAAUGGCUCAUUAUAUCAGUUAUAGUUUAUUUGGUGAAGGAUACUAAUUGGAUAACCGUAGUAAUUCUAGGGCUAAUACAUGAGUAAAGUCCCAUUGGGAUGUGUUUAUUAGAAUGAAAACCAUAUGCUUCGGCAUGAUAGUGAGUAAUAGUAACCUAUCGUAUCGCAUGCUUAAAGUAGCGAUGAGUCUUUCAAGUUUCUGCCCUAUCAGCUUUCGAUGGUAGCAUAUGGGUCUACCAUGGCAGUUACGGGUAACGAAGAAUUUGGGUUCGAUUUCGGAGAGGGAGCCUGAGAGAUGGCUACCACAUCCAAGGAAGGCAGCAGGCGUGUAAAUUACCCAAUCCUGACACAGGGAGGUA